UGCAGUCACUAUCAGGGUGAAAAAAGGCAAGGUAGGAAGUAGCCUAGGGAUAUAGUAGCAAGGUUUGGGACUGUGCAGACCAUGACUACUUGCUGUAGGGUCUCUGGGCUGGAACUCAGUGAAGAGGGCAGGCCUGGGUUCCCCUACCAGUCACUGGGUUGCACUAUUCUUAAGGGGAAGUGGGUCCCAAAAGACUUCGGGGGUAUACAACCCCUACCUCCAAAGGGAAAACCACAGUGACCUGGCCAGAGGGUCAAGGUACAAAGCAGGUGUGGUUGAGUACUGAGAGAGCAAGAGUGAUGGAAUGCAACCUCAGGAAGGCGCAUUGACCUGGCAGAGCUAAUCCUCAGAUGUGGCCGGAAGGAGGCGCUCCAACGCCACGAGAAGAAAGUGCCUGGUGAUGUGAUGCUGAGAAAUAUAGUACAACAGAGAACUGCACUGAACAGUGGUGGUGUGGGACUGCAAGAAAGUAAUUUACUCUAAACAGCAAAACAACCAAACCGCUAAUGUUCCAGUGAACAGCUCCUCCUGAAUUCUGAAACAAGACCCACCAGGUUUAGCAGAAGAUUCAAGCUUUUGCCAGUCAGAAUCAUUUCACUCUGAGACUUUCUGAUAUUUGAAAACUUAAUCAGUCAGUAUACUUUGAGGCCGGCACUGCACUGACCUUCCUACCCUCACAGAAAUGGAAUUAAAGGAAACUGCCAUUUUGCUCAAAUGUUCCCUCAACUCAAAUGUGAGUGAAACAACAGGGUGAAGCGCCUUUAGAAAAGGCAGCAUCAAUGAGACUUCAGCAAGGAAUCUCUGGCACAUCUUGUGGGAUUGUCACAAAGUUCAUUGGCUGAAGAAUUUCUUGAAGGUUUAUAAUGGAUAAAAUCUGAAGAUGCAAAGGGCAUGUGGUUAUACAAAUUUAGCAUGGCUGACCAGGCCAGGACCCAACUUAUGGAGCUGAAAGCACAGGGCUUCUUUGACGCCUCAGGUGGAGGAUAACUCAGGGGUUCGUGCCCCCUCUUUACAGUCCAGUCAACCUUUGAAAUGUAUUCUUCUGAAAUGUAUCCCCAGAUAAAGUUUCUUUUCCCUGCUGGGCGUAGAUGCCAUGUUGUCUGAUGUAGACUCCAUGCUGUCUUCUCCCCUGCUGGUGAUUUUCACAAUGCAAAUGCUCUCUUCCUGCAACCUCCAUUACAAAUGAAUAGCCCACUGAAUUUCGC
This is a long non-coding RNA of Chelonia mydas (Green sea turtle), 1205 nucleotides long. RefSeq lists it as uncharacterized. The transcript is spliced from 5 exons. NCBI's taxonomy places the organism in Eukaryota, Metazoa, Chordata, Testudines, Cheloniidae. The record is from RefSeq and is a predicted model, not a curated record.